This 345-nucleotide unclassified non-coding RNA is filed under the name soil metagenome. RNAcentral describes it as "partial contains 5.8S ribosomal RNA, internal transcribed spacer 2, and large subunit ribosomal RNA". The stretch from base 1 to 120 matches the Rfam family "5.8S ribosomal RNA", at positions 35 to 154 of the family's 154-position model. The record is from RNAcentral.
GAUGAAGAACGCAGCGAAAUGCGAUACGUAAUGUGAAUUGCAGAAUUCAGUGAAUCAUCGAGUCUUUGAACGAACAUUGCGCCCCCUGGUAUUCCGGGGGGCAUGCCUGUCCGAGCGUCAUUGCUGCCCUCAAGCACGGCUUGUGUGUUGGGCCUCCGUCCUCCUCCCGGGGGACGGGCCCGAAAGGCAGCGGCGGCACCGCGUCCGGUCCUCGAGCGUAUGGGGCUUCGUCACCCGCUCUUGUAGGCCCGGCCGGCGCUUGCCGACACAUCAAUCUUUUUUCCAGGUUGACCUCGGAUCAGGUAGGGAUACCCGCUGAACUUAAGCAUAUCAAUAAGCGGAGGA